This 1069-nucleotide ribosomal RNA is filed under the name Clathrinida sp. 4 JV-2020. RNAcentral's name for it is "partial large subunit ribosomal RNA". It matches the Rfam family "Eukaryotic large subunit ribosomal RNA", at positions 66 to 938 of the family's 3401-position model. Lineage: Eukaryota; Metazoa; Porifera; Calcarea; Clathrinida. The record is from RNAcentral.
UAACAAGGAUUCCCUUAGUAACGGCGAGUGAAGCGGGAACAGCUCAAAUUUGAAAUCUGCGGUGCUUGCAUCGUCAGAAUUGUAGUUAAGAGAAGUGCUUUCCCUGGGAUGUCUGCCGGCCUAAGUUGCUUGGAACAGCACGUCAUAGAGGGUGAGAACCCCGUCUGUGGCUCGGUGGACACCUGGUAUGAUGCACUUUCGACGAGUCGGGUUGUUUGGGAAUGCAGCCCAAACUGGGUGGUAAACUCCAUCUAAAGCUAAAUAUUGCCACGAGACCGAUAGCGAACAAGUACCGUGAGGGAAAGAUGAAAAGCACUUUGAAAAGAGAGUUAAAAGCACGUGAAACCGUUGAAAGGGAAACGCGCUCGGCUAGCAAUGCGCCAUUACGGUUCAGCCAGUUUGCGGGCGGAGUGGGCGGUCGUCGGAUCUGAACUGACCGCGGUUGUUCACGUCCGUUCGCGAAAUGCGGUGCACUCUGUGAUGGCGCGCGUCAGCGUCGGUUCGGAGCGGGCGACAAGGCCGGCAGGAAGGUAGCUCGCAGCUUGCUGUGAGUAUUAUAGCCUGUCGAGCUGGGUCCGCUGCUCGGACCGAGGAGAGAGAGGAUCGCUGCAGCGCAUGCCGCAAGGCUAGCUGCCCUUCGUCCGGCUUGCUUCACGGGUUGAGGACUGCACGCAGUGUUCGAACCGGCGAGGUGGUCUGGCGGGGGUGCGGUAUAAAUGCGCUUAGGACGCUGGCGUCCAAAUGGCCGUGCGCGACCCGUCUUGAAACACGGACCAAGGAGUCUAACAUGUGCGCGAGUCUUUGGGUGUUGAAACCCUCGGGCGCAAUGAAAGUGAAGGCCCGCGUUGGCGGGCUGAGGUGAGAGCCGGUGCUGCGGUGUCGGUGCAUCAUCGACCGGUCCAUUCUUCUCUAAGAAGGAUCCGAGUAAGAGCGUAUUUGUUGGGACCCGAAAGAUGGUGAACUAUGCCUGAAUAGGGUGAAGCCAGAGGAAACUCUGGUGGAGGCUCGUAGCGAUUCUGACGUGCAAAUCGAUCGUCAAAUUUGGGUAUAGGGGCGAAAGACUAAUCGA